UAAGACCUGCGCUUUUGGAGCGGCCGAUGUCUGAUUAGCUUGUUGGUAAGGUAAAAGCUUACCAAGGCUUCGAUCAGUAGCUGGUCUGAGAGGACGGCCAGCCACACUGGGACUGAGACACGGCCCAGACUCCUACGGGAGGCAGCAGUGGGGAAUUUUGGACAAUGGGGGCAACCCUGAUCCAGCCAUGCCGCGUGAGUGAAGAAGGCCUUCGGGUUGUAAAGCUCUUUCAGCUGGAACGAAACGGUUACGGUUAAUACCCGUGACUACUGACGGUACCGGAAGAAGAAGCACCGGCUAACUACGUGCCAGCAGCCGCGGUAAUACGUAGGGUGCGAGCGUUAAUCGGAAUUACUGGGCGUAAAGGGUGCGCAGGCGGUUUUGUAAGUCAGAUGUGAAAUCCCCGGGCUUAACCUGGGAACU
This 423-nucleotide ribosomal RNA is filed under the name uncultured bacterium. Its description in RNAcentral is "bacterial SSU rRNA". It matches the Rfam family "Bacterial small subunit ribosomal RNA", at positions 207 to 622 of the family's 1533-position model. The record is from RNAcentral.